Molecule: transfer RNA, 84 nt
Filed under: Thermoplasmata archaeon
Lineage: Archaea; Methanobacteriati; Thermoplasmatota; Thermoplasmata
Also listed under: 2 other names
Description: tRNA-Ser
Rfam family: tRNA
About the family: Transfer RNA (tRNA) molecules are approximately 80 nucleotides in length. Their secondary structure includes four short double-helical elements and three loops (D, anti-codon, and T loops). Further hydrogen bonds mediate the characteristic L-shaped molecular structure. tRNAs have two regions of fundamental functional importance: the anti-codon, which is responsible for specific mRNA codon recognition, and the 3' end, to which the tRNAs corresponding amino acid is attached (by aminoacyl-tRNA synthetases). tRNAs cope with the degeneracy of the genetic code in two manners: having more than one tRNA (with a specific anti-codon) for a particular amino acid; and 'wobble' base-pairing, i.e. permitting non-standard base-pairing at the 3rd anti-codon position.
Source: RNAcentral
GCUGAGGUAGCCUAGCCCGGAAAGGCGCCAGCCUUGAAAGCUGGUGGCGGUCUCGCCUCGGGAGUUCAAAUCUCCCCCUCAGCG